Molecule: long non-coding RNA, 1027 nt
Filed under: Gossypium barbadense (sea-island cotton)
Lineage: Eukaryota; Viridiplantae; Streptophyta; Magnoliopsida; Malvales; Malvaceae
Description: long non-coding RNA (GBAR_LNC006130)
Source: RNAcentral
CUAAGGUACCUAAAAAUUCUCUUAAUGGCUUGUAAAUGAGAUUCCUUAUGACAGGAUUGAUAUCUAGCACACAAGCAAAUACUAAACAUAAUGUUGGGUCUACUUGUAAUAAGAUAGAGUAAAGAACCAAUCAUUGACCUAUGCAAUUUUAUAUCAUAGAUUUAUCUUCUUCAUUGUAAGAGGCCUAUUUUGCCCGGCCCAUUAGAAACCAAAAAAAGAAACAAAAAACAAACAACAAAAAAACCCAACCCCAAUAGCCCAAAACUAACAAAAACCCUAAUGGCCCAGGCCCGAAUACCUAAAUUAAGUUUUAGUAAAUUAGAAAACCCUAGGUCCCUAUACGCCGCUGCCCAUGUGCACCGUACUAGCAGCCUCCGCAUCCUACCGUCGCCUCUACGCGCGUCAAACGCCACUAACAUCACCUGCAACACACAAAAGAAAAAGAACAAAGAAGAAAAAAACAAGAAAAUGGCAGAAAACAAAAAAAAUGGAACGAAUCUUGUACUUUGGCUAUAAAGGCCUAAAAAUUUCAUUGUAUUUUUCUACACACGCAUAUCAAAAAUCAAAGAAAAAAAUAAAAACUUUAGAAGGGAUUUCGAUCUUUUCCUUUGAUCUUGGUUUUCUUGUUUAUUUCUGUUUUUGUUUUAUUUUAUCUUCUUUUAUUUUUUAUUUUUUUUAACUUACUUUUAAACAUAAAAAAGAGGCGAAUAAAAGUAGAAGAGAGGAGAAAGGAACUUACCCGAAUCCAUGCAACCCCGUCGUCGGAGACUGCUUCUCCGUCGUCAGAUUCGACCCAAGGAGGUCGUGGGGUUCCUCCUCUUUUGAUCUUCUUCGGUCUAGGAAGCCCUUGCCGUCGAGCUCAUUUCAAGGAGGGUUAAAAACCCGAUUUCGCCUGGCCACGGUCACCGUCUACGGUGGAAACCACGGUGGCUUCACUGAGGCAUGACGACGGCGGCGAUGAUGGGUUUCAAAACUCUAGCCAAAAGGAGGAAGGGAAAGGGAGAGAGCAAAGGCUCUCUGUUUUUUU